This 392-nucleotide ribosomal RNA is filed under the name Reckertia sp. RNAcentral describes it as "partial small subunit ribosomal RNA". It matches the Rfam family "Eukaryotic small subunit ribosomal RNA", at positions 587 to 975 of the family's 1831-position model. Lineage: Eukaryota; Cercozoa; Imbricatea; Thaumatomonadida; Thaumatomastigidae. The record is from RNAcentral.
AGCUCCAGUAGCGUAUAUUAAAGUUGUUGCAGUUAAAAAGCUCGUAGUUGGAUUUCUGCUUGUAGCGUUGGGCCCGCCCGGGUUACCGGUGUGUGUGCCUGUUCGCUCCUUGCAUCCUUCUAGAAAACGGCUCUCUCCUUCAUUGGCUGUGGAGUCGCAAUCUAGAUCUUUUACUUUGAAAAAAUUAGAGUGUUUAAAGCAGGCUUGUGCUAUGAAUACAUUAGCAUGGAAUAAUAAUUUAGGACUUUAGUUCUAUUUUGUUGGUUUCUAGAACUGAAGUAAUGAUUGAUAGGGAUAGUUGGGGGUGCUAGUAUUCAGCGGCCAGAGGUGAAAUUCUUGGAUUCGCUGAAGACUAACUUAUGCGAAAGCAUUCACCAAGGAUGUCUUCUUUA